RNAcentral lists this ribosomal RNA (261 nucleotides) under uncultured soil bacterium. RNAcentral's name for it is "partial 16S ribosomal RNA". It matches the Rfam family "Bacterial small subunit ribosomal RNA", at positions 26 to 285 of the family's 1533-position model. The record is from RNAcentral.
AGGACGAACGCUGGCGGCGUGCUUAACACAUGCAAGUCGAACGGUGACGACGGGGCUUGCUCUGUCUGAUCAGUGGCGAACGGGUGAGUAACACGUGAGUAACCUGCCCCCGACUCUGGAAUAACCGUGGGAAACGACGGCUAAUACCGGAUAUGAGGCGCACGGGCAUCUGUGUGUCUGGAAAGAUUUAUCGGUCAGGGAUGGACUCGCGGCCUAUCAGCUUGUUGGUGGGGUAAUGGCCUACCAAGGCGACGACGGGUA